Molecule: ribosomal RNA, 1514 nt
Filed under: metagenome
Description: bacterial SSU rRNA
Rfam family: Bacterial small subunit ribosomal RNA
Source: RNAcentral
AGAGUUUGAUCCUGGCUCAGAACGAACGCUGGCGGUAUGCUUAAUACAUGCAAGUCGAACGUGAAAGUCUCUUCGGAGGCGAGUAAAGUGGCGCACGGGUGAGUAACACGUAGGUGACCUACCCAUUUGUGGGGGAUAACUUCGGGAAACCGGAGCUAAUACCGCAUAAGUUGGACAACUCUGGAAGGAGUUCAAGAAAGAUGGCCUCUCCUUGGAAGCUAUCGCAGAUGGAUGGGCUUGCGCGACAUUAGCUUGUUGGUGGGGUAAUGGCCUACCAAGGCUACGAUGUCUAGCUGGUCUGAGAGGAUGAUCAGCCACACUGGAACUGAGGCACGGUCCAGACUCCUACGGGAGGCAGCAGUAGGGAAUAUUGCGCAAUGGGCGAAAGCCUGACGCAGCAAUACUGCGUGAGGGAGGAAGGUCUUCGGAUUGUAAACCUCUGUCAGAAGGGAAAAAUAGCUUUAUGGUUAAUAUCCAUAGAGUUUGAUGGUACCUUCAAAGGAGGCACCGGCUAACUCCGUGCCAGCAGCCGCGGUAGUACGGAGGGUGCAAGCGUUGUUCGGAUUUAUUGGGCGUAAAGCGCGCGCAGACGGGAUAAUAAGUCAGGUGUGAAAUCUCGGGGCUCAACUCCGAAAGUGCGCCUGAAACUGUUAUUCUAGAAUUCUGGAGAGGGAUGGGGAAUUUCUCAUGUAGGGGUAAAAUCCGUAGAGAUGAUAAGGAACACUUGAUGCGAAGGCGCCAUCCUGGACAGAUAUUGACGCUGAGGCGCGAAAGCGUGGGGAGCAAACAGGAUUAGAUACCCUGGUAGUCCACGCCGUAAACUAUGAGAACUUGUUGUCGGGGGUAUUGACCCCUCCGGUGACUUAGCUAACGUGUUAAGUUCUCCGCCUGGGGAGUACGGUCGCAAGACUAAAACUCAAAGGAAUUGACGGGGGCCCGCACAAGCGGUGGAUCAUGUGGUUUAAUUCGAAGCAACGCGAAGAACCUUACCUGGGCUUGAAGUCCCACGAACGGCCAAGAGAUUGGCUGGUGCUCUUCGGAGAAUGUGGUGAUAGGUGCUGCAUGGCUGUCGUCAGCUCGUGUUGUGAAAUGUUGGGUUAAGUCUCGCAACGAGCGCAACCCCUGUCCUUAGUUGCCAGCAUUAAGUUGGGCACUCUGAGGAGACUGCCCGGGUUAACCGGGAGGAAGGUGGGGAUGACGUCAAGUCCUCAUGGCCCUCAUGUCCAGGGCUACACACGUGAUACAAUGGUGCAUACAAAGGGAAGCGAACUCGCGAGGGGGAGCAAAUCUCAAAAAGUGCAUCUCAGUCCGGAUUGGAGUCUGCAACUCGACUCCAUGAAGUUGGAAUCGCUAGUAAUCGUGGAUCAGCAUGCCGCGGUGAAUACGUUCCCGGGCCUUGUACACACCGCCCGUCACACCAUGGGAGUUGGCUCAAUCUGAAGACGUGACUCUAACCUUCGGGGGGAGAGCGUCCACGGUGGGGCCGAUGACUGGGGUGAAGUCGUAACAAGGUA